RNAcentral lists this ribosomal RNA (261 nucleotides) under uncultured bacterium. Its description in RNAcentral is "partial 16S ribosomal RNA". It matches the Rfam family "Bacterial small subunit ribosomal RNA", at positions 524 to 784 of the family's 1533-position model. The record is from RNAcentral.
UACGUAGGGUGCAAGCGUUAAUCGGAAUUACUGGGCGUAAAGCGUGCGCAGGCGGUGAUGUAAGACAGAUGUGAAAUCCCCGGGCUCAACCUGGGAACUGCAUUUGUGACUGCAUCGCUGGAGUGCGGCAGAGGGGGAUGGAAUUCCGCGUGUAGCAGUGAAAUGCGUAGAUAUGCGGAGGAACACCGAUGGCGAAGGCAAUCCCCUGGGCCUGCACUGACGCUCAUGCACGAAAGCGUGGGGAGCAAACAGGAUUAGAUA